Long non-coding RNA from Cucumis sativus (cucumber), 1464 nucleotides. RefSeq lists it as uncharacterized. The transcript has 2 exons. Lineage: Eukaryota; Viridiplantae; Streptophyta; Magnoliopsida; Cucurbitales; Cucurbitaceae. The record is from RefSeq and is a predicted model, not a curated record.
CCAGAUUUGAAAACAACAUUCAUCUAUCUCCAUGGGAUUUCAAUUUGGGGAAGCUUAGUAUUCCAUGUGAAAAUGUCUCCAUUUCAUACGAUCCAUAUAUGUACAAUACCUCCAACGAUGGAAACUUAAUCGUACAUUUUCCGUUGUCAAAGGAUGCUAAUCUUGUAGACUCCAAAUUUCCCAGAUUUUCUGCCACCGAAGAGCUAAACAAGUUCAUCAUUUUAUUGCAUCCUCCGACCCUAAGGUACUUCAAAUUUAGGAAUGUGACUGAGGAUGGCAAUAUGCACUUCAAAUUCUCACAUCCCCGUAUGUCAAUGUUUUCCAAACUAUCAAAGCUAAUUGUGGUGACUUCGCUACUUUCUUUCCACACAUGCAUAAGCUUUGGAAGAUUCCAUAAUGUCAACUUCUUCAACCUUGCACAUCUUUGAACAUCAUUAUUAUUGCUUCUACUUAAUUCUUCAGUUUCAAACACUUGUAUCAGCUUACGAGCAUCUUCGAUUAUAAAUUCUUCAAUAUUGUACAAUACUUCACUCAUUUCCAAUGGCAAACAAACUAUGUCAUCAUCCUCACAACCAAUCAGUUUAAGACUUAUGAGUUCGGAGAAUGAUUCUGAUUUUUGGCAAAACCUUUUCUUCACUGAUUUCAAGCUCAAUUCCAUAUUUCUCAUACCCUGGAGGCUUUCAAUCUGAAAAGAAACAGAGAUUCAAAAACUAUUAAUUUUCAAUUUUAUUUUUCUUUAUUUCAAAAUCCCAGACUUCGUACCUAACAUUGUUUUUCCCUUCAUUUUAUUUUAAGUGGUUUUUUUUUUUUUUUAAAUCUAAGAUAAGGGUAGAAAAAUGACCAAGUAUUUAAGAGUCAGUAAAAUGGGUUUUAAAGUUAAGGGUAGAGUGGUAAUUUGGUUUUAUGGCAAAUUUGUAAUUAUUCCGAUCUUCUACACCUUCUGUCUUUUAAUUAGACAAAAGAAAAGAGAAAGAAAAGAGGGCAGCCGACAGUCAAGAACAGACAAACAGGGAAAGAAAGAGCGAACUUCGAACGGCUUCCCAGUUGACGGUGUUGACUGCCAACGGCAUUAGUUUACGGAGGCUUUCGGUGUCGGGUUGGUCGACGGGUUCUUCAGUGUUGGGUCUUGACGGGUUUGUUGGAACGUUGGAUCUGUGGCUGGUUUUCUACGAGUUUGGGUCUAGGCAUCAGUUCAGCGUUGGUCUCUCAGUCUUUCUUGACGUUUUGGUUGAUACUAUGGUUGGGUUUGUGGUUAAUUACAUAUUGCUAGUCUUGUUGAUUUCUUCGAUGUAAGACCAAAUAAUUGGUCGAACUACUAUAUACAGCGUUUUUGGUUGGGAGUUUGUUAUAGGUAACAGAACUUGGUGUGUUAUUUCCAACCGUAAAAAAAACUAGAAAUCAUGUAUUUAGAGUAGAUUGUAUAACGUAUAAUUUGGAGGAAAUGAAAAUGUGAUCUUUUCUUAA